GUUAAUGGGAAUUCAUCCGUAGUGCAGCCGAGUGUGUUUUAUUUUGGAAGCUAAGCAGGGAGAGGCCUGGUUAGGAGCUGGAUGGGAGACCACCCGAGCAUACCUGGUGGAAUUUAUU
This 118-nucleotide ribosomal RNA is filed under the name Pogona vitticeps (central bearded dragon). Lineage: Eukaryota; Metazoa; Chordata; Lepidosauria; Squamata; Agamidae. The record is from RNAcentral.